Molecule: unclassified non-coding RNA, 379 nt
Filed under: uncultured delta proteobacterium
Lineage: Bacteria; Deltaproteobacteria
Description: contains 16S-23S intergenic spacer region
Source: RNAcentral
UCCGGUUUGUCACCGGCGGUCCCCUUAGAGUUCCCAACUUAAUGCUGGCAACUAACGACAAGGGUUGCGCUCGUUGCGGGACUUAACCCAACAUCUCACGACACGAGCUGACGACAGCCAUGCAGCACCUAACUACAGGUUCUCCGAAGAGCACUCCGACCUUUCGACCAGGUUCCUGCAUUUUCUAGCCCAGGUAAGGUUCUGCGCGUUGCGUCGAAUUGAACCACAUGCUCCACCGCUUGCGCGGGCCCCCGUCAAUUCCUUUGGGUUUUAGCCUUGCGGCCGUACUCCCCAGGCGGGGCACUUAAUGCGUUAGCUUCGGCACGGAGGGAGUCGACACCCCCUACACCUAGUGCCCAUCGUUUACAGCGUGGACUAC